GCACUUAUCCCUUCCUCUUCCAUCGCUUUCUGCUGCCCCAAGCUGAUGCCAUUAAGAUGCAUGUCAAUAGCAUUGUCCUAUUACAGGAGUAGAAAUGUUUUCUAGCUAAUUAUCAAUCAUAUCCAAACAAUUUACCUAGAAAUUUACAUGGGAGAGCCUGGGAGUUUCUAACCAUGGUCAUCACUGCACUCUUAGAUUCAAAUGCAAAUGUGAAUGGUACAUGGUCUUGAGGGGGAACCU
This 240-nucleotide long non-coding RNA is filed under the name Elaeis guineensis (African oil palm). RNAcentral's name for it is "long non-coding RNA (EGUI_LNC033054)". Lineage: Eukaryota; Viridiplantae; Streptophyta; Magnoliopsida; Arecales; Arecaceae. The record is from RNAcentral.